RNAcentral lists this ribosomal RNA (497 nucleotides) under uncultured bacterium. RNAcentral's name for it is "partial 16S ribosomal RNA". It matches the Rfam family "Bacterial small subunit ribosomal RNA", at positions 28 to 507 of the family's 1533-position model. The record is from RNAcentral.
GAUGAACGCUGGCGGCGUGCCUAAUACAUGCAAGUCGAGCGAACGGACGAGAAGCUUGCUUCUCUGAUGUUAGCGGCGGACGGGUGAGUAACACGUGGAUAACCUACCUAUAAGACUGGGAUAACUUCGGGAAACCGGAGCUAAUACCGGAUAAUAUUUUGAACCGCAUGGUUCAAAAGUAAAAGACGGUCUUGCUGUCACUUAUAGAUGGAUCCGCGCUGCAUUAGCUAGUUGGUAAGGUAACGGCUUACCAAGGCAACGAUGCAUAGCCGACCUGAGAGGGUGAUCGGCCACACUGGAACUGAGACACGGUCCAGACUCCUACGGGAGGCAGCAGUAGGGAAUCUUCCGCAAUGGGCGAAAGCCUGACGGAGCAACGCCGCGUGAGUGAUGAAGGUCUUCGGAUCGUAAAACUCUGUUAUUAGGGAAGAACAUAUGUGUAAGUAACUGUGCACAUCUUGACGGUACCUAAUCAGAAAGCCACGUCUAACUACGUG